This 181-nucleotide signal recognition particle RNA is filed under the name Sporomusaceae bacterium FL31. Its description in RNAcentral is "Bacterial large signal recognition particle RNA". The stretch from base 53 to 152 matches the Rfam family "Bacterial small signal recognition particle RNA". Rfam says of the family: The signal recognition particle (SRP) is a universally conserved ribonucleoprotein involved in the co-translational targeting of proteins to membranes. Archaeal SRP consists of a 7S RNA and homologues of the eukaryotic SRP19 and SRP54 proteins. Lineage: Bacteria; Bacillati; Bacillota; Negativicutes; Selenomonadales; Sporomusaceae. The record is from RNAcentral.
AUUAUUUCUGCUAAUAAGGUCUGACAGAUGUUUUUAAGGUCGGACCAUGGCAGGUUGGGUCUUACGCAAUGGAGACUCAUGAACCCCGUCAGGUCCGGAAGGAAGCAGCGGUAAGUGACAAUCUUCAUGUGCCGUGAGGGUGCCUGAUUUGCCGUGGCCCGACGUUAAAAACAUAAAUAAU